Cheilinus undulatus (humphead wrasse) is the source of this 848-nucleotide long non-coding RNA. RefSeq lists it as uncharacterized. The transcript has 3 exons. The record is from RefSeq and is a predicted model, not a curated record. Lineage: Eukaryota; Metazoa; Chordata; Actinopteri; Labriformes; Labridae.
UGUAGACACAUUUUGUAACUUCCGGGUUUGCUUUUGUAACAGUUCGAGUGUUGAUAUUGAAGAACGCAGAACGCUCAUAGAGCUUACAGCCAACGACAUUAUCAGACGGAUAGACUAAAGCGGGAAACAACCAUGGUGUGACUGCUAAUAAAAGCUAGCAUCUAUGUGGUAAGGAAGAUCCGGGCUGCCAUUGCUGAGGGGGAGCAAGUGGAAAAGCCCAUUAUUACACCAUGUAGUGCUAUAGCUGGAAUGAAAGCGGGGCAUGAGUCAAAUGGAAAUGCCCAGGCCAUCAUGCUGAACUCAGGUCCUGAUGGAGCUGCAGUUGUAGCAGCAGGCUCGGGGAUGUCCUCAGAGACUGCUGUGCAGAAAUGCGGCUCCUGACGCUAGAGACCUGGCUGGACACUGGAACUGUGGUCACCUUGGUGGAGAAAUACAUCACACUUUGCAUUUUUACAUUUCAGGACAAUAAUCCUGGAUAAUUCCAUCUAUAAAUAGGGCAAUGUACAGUACAUACAUGAAUCAUUAUAUGUCAUACACACAUUUUACAGACCCCAUUCUACUGCAUUCUGGUGUCCAUCUGUUACUCAGUAACAAGGGUCCUGCUCCCAUUUUUUUAUGUGAGCCUACUUCACAGAGAAUGCUUUCUGGCAAUUCUAUUGUCACCUCCGUUUAUUGGAGAUGCCCAUGGCAUUAAGAUCUUCUUGUAGGUCAGCAACUUCUCUGUUAAAAGGGCCUUUUUUCAUGUACCGCAGUUAAUGAAGGCUGACUCGUAAACCUCUUUCCAGGGGCUGAGCAGGCCGGAUGUCUCUGCUGCCAUGUCAAUGAAAUAAAAAGAGAAAUAAAAAUCA